RNAcentral lists this long non-coding RNA (11449 nucleotides) under Sorghum bicolor (sorghum). Its description in RNAcentral is "long non-coding RNA (SBIC_LNC012249)". The stretch from base 10460 to 10566 matches the Rfam family "Plant small nucleolar RNA R71". The record is from RNAcentral. Lineage: Eukaryota; Viridiplantae; Streptophyta; Magnoliopsida; Poales; Poaceae.
CGGGAACACAAGCUUGCAGAGGUACAUCAUCAACAAUAGGAAUUCAAUUGGUAGCAAUGGGUAGGCCCAAGUGGCGUCGGCCGACCCCGCCUUGGAGCCCUGGACCCACCAAUCAGCAUCCACUCAACAACUACCUACCUCCUGGUUUGCGACUCCUACUCCCCCUCUAUUCUUUCAUUUUUAUUACUUCUGUCUCUUGUUUGCUUUAUUAGAUAAAAUAAAACAAAAAUAAAAACAAGAAGACUUGGAUCUAUGAUUUAUGACAUUAAAAGUGUGACAUGAUUCAUGACAUUGAAAGGGUAAAAGUGUCACAAAGUCUAAUUCUUGCAUAUGCAUAUACUUGUGGGUCACACAACUUGAUAGGAAUAUCAGAUUGACUUGGUUGUUGACAAAUUGUGAUAUAGUUCUUAGCUCAAGAUUCAUACCCUUUCUAUUCAAAGUGCUUAGAGAUUUAUUUUUGAAAAUAUCAUAAAACCAUAGUGUCACUUACUCCUCAAUAGUAAGAGAAUUCCUACCACAGCCAUAUAUGUUCAAAACCCUUCUAUACAUGCUACUUAUACUUGUGUUGAGUUUAGUCAAACCUUGUGACCCUAGUUAAGAAUUAUGCCAUAGCCCCAAGAUCAAGGUCACACACACACCACAUAUAUAUGCUGCUUCUACAUUGGAAGUAUGCAAAAACAUGCCAUCUAUUUCCACCAUAUAGAUGCUCCAUGUUUUAAGGUUUAGAAUAUCUCUCUCUAAGUAUUGGUUAUGAGAUGAGACACAAAGGCUAUGCUUAGUAAAAAAAAGUGGGCACAUGAAGGUCCAUUGCUUUUGAAAAAAGAGAAAAAAAUAAAAAAACUAGCCAUGCCACAAAUAAAAUAGAGAGAGAGAUCUUAUCAAAUAUAGGAGCAUUCUAUUCUAAUCAUUUUUCACACACUUACACAUCUUGAUCUAGGAUUAUAACACUUACACAAUGCAAGUAUGCUAUCUUGUUUCACCCUACCUGAGCCCCAUAAGCCUCAUAGAUGUAGGAUGAAACAAAAGAAGGCAAUCUUAUGCUAUGCCUUGGUGAGAAAUCCUAUACUUACUGAGUGACUUGAGAGUACUAUUGGAGGAGUAAGGAUGAACUAUGUGCUUUCUUUUAAAAUAUUUAUCAAAAACUCUAAGUACAAAGAAUAUGAAAAUGGGAAGAUGACUUUGCUUUGAGAACUGUUCCAUUCUUCAACAUCCUAAGGAUAUAUGUUAGACAGUGUCACAUAACCCACUUGUAUAAGAUAUGUCUUGAGUAGUCUUUGUGUUUUCUUAUAUCUUAAAAGUGUCAUAAUCAUAGGUUAUCUUUCUCUAACCUUUGCUCGAGGAUGAUCAAAGACUUAAGUGUGGGGGUUCUUGUUGAUGGGAAAUAAGACUGAGUUCUAUAUACUCAAAAGCCCAUCAACAGUCCUUGAUUGAAGGAAGAUAAGCAUCACAUGAACAUAUUUAUCACUAAUAAAUUUCCACUUGUAGUCUUAGCUUGUUCAAUGCAGGGAAGAAGGAAAUGAGCCCUAUGGGCCCCAUAACCUCAGUCGGCCGACCAUGGUUUGGGCCGACCAGGGGCUCCCUCCAUGGCAUACUUCAAGGAGAAAAUCCCAACCCUUGGAUCCAAGUGUGCUUGCCCUCAACGUUUCAAACACUUAGCACAUGGAUCCUUGGGCUUGUUGGGCAUUCUUACCGUCACUACCAAAAGUAGACUUAGUUUUAACGGCGCCAAAAAUGCCAAACCUAUCCCUCAUGCCACUUAAGCCAAGUUGUCAUCCCCAGCAUGACAUGAGAGACUCGGUAUUGAAAUAUGCAAUUGCUCUUCAGAAUAAAUAAUAAAUAAGAUCUACAAGCGCACAGAUUAAUACCGAUGUAGCAUUUUAACUGGGAAGUUUUCCAAGUAUCGUUAUUUAUAUUUUUACCACUGGGAAGGGAUUGCUAAACAUCGAUAUUGAUUAUAGAAUGGAAUAUAGAAUUGAGUAUCUAUCAUUGCAUGUAUAAUUGAGAGCAUUUAUCUAUCUCUUUCAUACAGGGAUAAAUGUCACAUAAAAGAUAGAUAAAGUAUGAAUUGUGAUAGAGAUAAUUAAUCUGAUCAGCAUAACUUAGCCAAUAUAAAUAUGAUAAGCACCUCAAUAGAUAUUCUAGCAAGUCAUUAACAUGGAAUUAGGACGAACUACAAGAAUAUUUCCUAAGUUAUUCUUAACUAUAAAGUCUAGCAUAUCAUAGUUAGAGCAAUUAUACUUGGCAAUCAUUGCGAGAUAGGACUACGCCCAUGCAUAGUGAUAUUAUCAAGGAAUAUGAGAAACAUAGCAAUCACUCCGCUGUAAUAAUGUUGCUUUGCCAGCCCUAUACACGAGAGGGGGACUAUAUAAGAAUCAAUGGAGCUGUCACUACCACGAACUACCCCGCGAUCUGGCAUAUAGGGUAUAAUCGCAGAUAAAUACGAUAUAGGCACCACGCCUACACAAUACUUAUCAUUUACCCACUAUACACAUGGAUAAAUGCUAUAUGAUCCUAAACAUGUAUAUAAUUCCAAUCUAACUAAGCCAAGCAUAUAACUAUGAUAAACUAAGAACAAUAUAAUUGCAAAUAUAAACAAGUAGGGCAAAGUCAUAAUCAAUAUAUUGAAGUAGAACAAAGUCAUAUUCAUAAUAUUGAAGAACAAAGAUGAACAAUUGAAGAACAGUAGAGGAAUUACCAAGAAUCCUCUGACAGAUCCGGAAACCAAUCGAAGAUUGACUCCUUCUAGUUCUAAUCCUAUGUAGCUAUGCUAAGCUAGAGAUCUAAUUGAUGUGGUGGCUCUAGGGCUUGAUCAGAGGCUUCUUCUCCCGAGAUGGAUAAUGAAUUAGGGUUCUGAGGUCCUCUCCUCCAGGGGCCAGGGGGUAUGCUUAUAUAGUCCUUCCAAAUGAAUGUGGGCCGUCAGAUCAAACCGACAUUAAUCGCACGGUUUUCCUUGAUCCUUUAGGUCGGUGGUGCAUGAUCCACGAAGUUGAUUGUGAUUGGCCCUCAGGCCAGGGCGGGCGCCCAAGGGGGGAGGGCGGGCGCUCUGCCCCCGGGCCCGUUCGGUCUCCCGUUCGUUCCCGUGGCUUCUGGACUCUUCUAGAUGUUAGAUAAUUGCGCAGUACGUUAUUAUCUCUAUGUAAACCCGACGUGUGGGCCUUUCUUCCAUAAUUCCUGAUAACCCCCCUGCAGAAAUAGAUAAACACCAAAACUCGUGGAAUUCUGUCAGAUAAAACCCUAAGUCUGGGUGUCGGUUGCAUUUGGAUCCUUUUCUUUGUUUAUUUGCUGAUUAUAUUUGAUACUUAAGGACCGUCAACAAACUCCCCCAAGCUUACCUCUUGCUUGUCCCUGAGCAAGGAUAAUCUUAGUGAUGGAUCAGAAGUUGUUGGAAUGCCUUUAAAAAUUGACGGUACAUAUGCUUUCAAAUGAGGUCUCAUCUCUGAGUUAGAGUAAACUGUCAAGACUUAAAACUUACUCAUUUUACCUUUUACCAUGGGACUUAUCACUACAGGAAAUGUGUGGCUUUUUAACGUUUUUAAUAUGACAAUGAUCAUAAUGUCACUAUAUCAUCCAUUUUGUGACAUUAUAUUUUAGGCAUUGUGACUUAGUGACAAUAAAAAGUUGUAUGUCAUAAUAAAUGUCAUUUAACAAGUCAAAUUUCAUCUAGUGACAAUAUUUUAUGUGUCACAAGGCUUGUUUGUGUGUCAUAAAAUAUUUUAUUAAUUUUUUAAAAUAAACUAUGCAUGUUGAAAAUAAACUAAUGUUGAAAAUAAAUUUUGAGUUGUUUAAACAAAGUCAGAUGGAGAAUUUGCCAAAACAAAAGUUGUAGAUAUCGAUGAGUUCUACAACUUUGCUUUUGAUGUCUUUUUAAUUUGAAUCCAUCUAAUAUUCCAAAAUUUGAUUCAAAAUUCUCAUAAAUAAAUUUAAAAUUUAAAAUCUUUUGGUCAGAUUGUGGGUGUUCAGACUCUCAACCUGGUAUUGGGCUUCGAUUUUGCUUUUGGGCCACUGAAACCCGGAGGCCUAUUAAGGUUGUGCACAAUCUGAGCCUUUGAUCUGAAUCGAACGGUCGGAGUUCGUCCCAUCUUGGAACAAAACCAGCUCAAGCCGUCGACCUCCCAAAACCCUAACUUAACUUGCUCUCGUCCCUUCCCCUCCCUUCACUUCCAGCCGUUGGACUCCAACCCCUGCGCAGACGAGAACUACUGGAGGUACGCCGAUGCGCGGCAGCAGCAGCAGGAGAUGGUAGCCGCCGCCGCGGCUGCAGCGGGGAUGGCCCCCGUGGCGACCGUCGCCGCGGCCCAAAUGGUCGGUAGCACCGCCGCUGCCAUGAACCAGCAGGCCGCCGCCGCCACCAUGGCACAGUAGGCCGCCGCCGCCGCCGCUCAAGCGCGCGCGCCCCGACUUCGGUGGUUCGUGCUCUCCCCCUCGCUCUUUUUCACUGGACGACCACCAGAUCUUGCUUUUUUGUUUUCUUGGUGGCUAUAUCUUCCCCUCCAAUCUCCUCGUCGCCCGUGCUUUGUGGAAUUUAGGUGUAUCUGGCUGGUUGUUAGGUUCGUAAUUUUAGAUCCAGGGUUUACUAGAUCUGCAGAACUGUUGUGAUUAGAUGAUUCACCAUGCAUCCGGGCUGUCUGCCAUAGUUUCGGUCUGUAAUAAAAUUUGACAAGCUAGGUUCGUUGCAUUAUAUUGAGAAUUGUGUCCUGGUUGACUAUUCUUGAGCUGAACUUGUUGGUAUUGUUGAUUUGGGGAGGAAAUUAUGUAAUAAUAUUGCUUAGAUAUCUGCCGAUUUGGUUUAUGGGAAUGCAGUGUGGGCAAAGUGCCUUGCUCCGCUAGGAAGUUCUUCCAAAAUUAUGGUUCAUGGAAAUCCAGUGUUCCAAAUGAUGGAACUGAGGUGGACACAUGAAGUUUUGUUGUAUGUGUAUGUCUUGCAUACUAUAAUCUAGAGGCUCCCGAUUUAUGCAGCUAGAGAACAAACUUCUCAUGUUAGGAUAAUCAACUAAUGAUAUGUGCAAGGAAUCAAAGAGGCAGACAAUCGGCGUUGAUGAUGCCCUCAGGUACUUGAUGAGAUGGAGUUUUUAGAGUUUGUAGAGCCCCUUAGGACUUGGUUGCAAGGUCAAUCUUGUUGUCUUCAUCCUGUUAGCACUUUGUUAGAUCCUCCAUGGUGUUACCGAUAUAAACCUAUAGAUUCAUAAAUUGAUUUCUUAGUCUGAGAUUUUUUCUGUUAUAUAGAUGGACAUAUUUUUUUAGUAAUAGUACUAUCCUUGUACUGAAUGAUAUGACCUCAAGUGGAUAUACAUGCUUAACUUUUUUUUCCGAAUUGUGCAAUUUUGUAUAUAUAUUCAGUUAUUACAUUUCAAAAGUAUUUCCAUUCAUUAUAUGGUUCUGAAAACUUUAGCGCUCUUUGAUGCAGAACAACUCGAAUAGAUUAUAUGGUUUCUGAAAACUUCAGCGCUCUUCGGUCUUGCACUUUGCAUGUAUUCCUGGAUCUGUCGGUCAGAUGUAGUGUAUUGAUUGGUUCAGUUUGGUGGUCAGGGAAUAUAUUCUGUAACAAAAUCCUUGACUUUCUGAUGAAUUUAUUAUAUUGAUUAAUGUGAUAGCUGGAGGUGAGGAUUGGGUGUAAUCUUUGAUUUCCUUUUCCAUUUUUGCAGAUGUGUGUGGUGGACAAGACAUAACAGGAUAUUAUCCACGUGAAACUGACAGGGCAGGAUACCAUUCCCUCCAAUUCAUGUCUUCCAAUGAUGAUAUUUUGCUGACACUGAACUUGUGGCCUACUGUGCUUUUGGCUAUUGACCUAUUGUGCUUCUGCCACGCAUGUGCUGGAAAAUUUGAGACUUGAGACCCUACAUGUUUAAUGAAUUGGUGGAUUGAUGUAAUGAUAUUGUAUUUAUUGUGGAGAUUUUAAUUCAUUUGGAUCUAAUGUUGAAAAAUUAUAUGAAUGCAAUUAUAUGUGAUGAAAUAUUAUAUAUGGGCUGAAUUCUGUGUGCUGGAAAAAAUGGGCUGAAUUUUGUGAGCUUGGGAAAAAAAUAUGGGCUGAAAUAUGUGGGAUAAAAUAUGAGAUGCAUUAUCAGAGUAAAAAAAUAUUAUAUGAGCUGAAUUGUUGUGGGCUUGAAAUCUAUAUGGGCCGUAAUUAAAAAUAAUGGACCACUAUAAAUAGAUUUCAGGCCCAUGAGCUAUGUGGGCUUUAGUAGGCCAAAACUAAUUUUGUGACAUUUUUUCUCCCUGCCAUGUCAGCUGCCACGUGGCAAGGCCUACGAUUUUGUGACAACAAACCAAUGUCAUAUGCUUGUGACAUGAACCAAACAAAUGUCACAUAAUAAUUUUAUGACGCGGGCUUUUCCACGUUUUGAUUUUUGUCAACUUGAUGUCACAAAUUUUAAUUUGUAACAUAAAUUUCAUAUAUUGUGACAUAACUAAACGUUAAAAAGCCAUGAGUUUCUUGUAGUGUAUAACUGUCACUUCUGUCUUGAGUAGUUAAAAGAUAGAACAGUCUAGUCAAGUGUCAUGUCUCUUAUUCUUGAUCAGCUAUAGCUCUGGAGUUUUUGCAGAUUUUCAAAUAGAACUCAGAGAUUCCUUGUAUGACUCUCUCAUAUCUCUCUUUUGUGGUAUUUCUAGAUCCUUACCAAGGAAGUGAUGGUAUAUGCCUUCUCUCAAUAUGUAGUAUUUGUGGACAUUGCCUUCUCUCUCAUCCUACUCUAAUAAGGCUUUAAUAUCUGGAGCUCAUAGAUGGGAGAUAAAGUAUACAAACUUACAAGACAUUUAUUGCAUAGUCAAACCAUGGAUCCAGAGAAACAAGUCAAUAAGUCAAAUCAAGAUGUGCAUGUGUGGUGAAUGAAUGGUGUAUGGUGAUGAUGGUGAUAACAAUGGUGAAAGUCUAAUUCUUCUUGUGCUCUUUUGAGGGAAUACAUACCUUUCUUGCUCUUUUGAAACUUUUUGAGGAGAAUGAGAUGCUCUACUUUUUCUUUUUCUUUCCUCUCAGGUAGGUAUUCUGUACCACUAAUUCUACUGUCGGACACUUUUCCAUUUUUACCUCUCGUCUCACUUUUUCUUUUCUUUCGAGGUUCCGGGCACUUGCCCCUUUUUAUUUCCUCGUAUGUCUCUUUUUUUUAGAUCACUCAUCUCCUGAAAUAAUAUAGCAAGUGGUAGUAACCAAGAUAACUCGAGCAUUUAUUUCAUAGGGGGAAACAAAAAUAGGAGAAUAUUUUGGCUAUUCUCUCCUGGAUUAGGAGUAGAAUAUUUUUGAGUGGCUCUGGAGAUGGAAAUGAGUGGAUAUAUGUGGAUACGUACUUCCGGAGUAGAAGCAACAUGUGUGAGUGAACGUGCAAGUGAAUCUUGAUUUAACCACAUGACAAGCUCCUAAAGGUCUACACAGCUUGACCACACUCAAUGCUCAUAAGCUGUAAAAAGUAAAUGUGUGGCUCAAAGUCUAGCAAGCAUGUAUAUAUGGCUGUGGUAGGAAUUUAAACUCUCAUCAUAAAGGAACUCAUCAUGUGAUAUUUAAAAGAUUUUUAAAGAUAAAAUUCUCCAUAUUUCUGGCAUCUGUAGGAACCGAUAAACAGCAGCUCAACCUUCUCAUAUCAUAUCCGUUAACAACUUAGACUUCAGAUCAAGUUCUCUUCCCACAAGUUCAGGUUUAGAGCAACCUUUAAAUUAUAACAGUUAUGUCUAAACUAGAGAGAGAACUUCAAAUUUGAAAAUUAGGCAGAGCAACUAUUCAUCAUAUCCAUGCUAGAGUUUUUAUUAUUAAGAUUUCAGUUUAGCAUAGCCACUUUAUUUAUUUAUUAAGCAUACUAAGCAAAAGAUAUAUUUAUGUAUAUAAGCACAAAAUUUUUAUUUAGCUUUUCAUGGUUAUGUAUAUUUUUAUUUUAAUAUAGUAUAAGUAUAUAGAUAGACAGAAAUACUUAGCGGGAUAAAUGGUGGUGCUCUCCCCCAAGCUGGAUUUUGACGUAAUUUCUUCUGAUGUAGCUAGCAGGUGGUAGAGGUGUAUUUGAAAGUCGGCAGUACCCUGACAGCGAUUAGAAUGUCCUGCGUCUGCUAGUCUUCUUGAUCAUUGAAUUCUGUGGAGCUCAAAUAGACAACAAAGCUUUGUGGAACUGAUUAGGUGUUAGCAUAAAUAUCUAGCCUUUAUCAUGUUGAGCCUCCUCAAUAAGUGUUACUCUCUAUUUUUUUAUAUUUUCAUUUUAUAGAGCAGAAAAAAUUAUUUAUUUUAUUUUUAUGCCACCACAGUGAAUGUACUUAUGGGUUUUAUGCCACUCGUAUACUCACAUGGGGCUUACUAUUUUUAACAUUUUUAUUUUCUUUUUAGGAUAGUAUGAACAUGAUUAACUAAGCAAACUAUUUUAAAUAAUUGAAAGGAAAAAGAUAACUACCAAGUUUACCUCUUGGCAAGGCGUUCGGUGUUUUAAAGUCCUCCGAACGGGACUCUCUGUUUUCUCAGUUGUCCUGGGAUUCGUUGGAUGGCGUAGUCGGUGGUUCCGGCGGCGCCUCUUCUUCGUGUAUAGUUAUCUUCUCUCUCCACACCUGACUCGGUGCUACGGUCUCCACUGGAUAAUUCUGUUCAAGCUGUACGUCUUCAGAUCUUACAAUUUCUCCUUCGUAGUCUACCCAUCCGUCCUUGAUGAUUUGCCUCCUCUAGUUGCGGUUGCGUCGUCUUCUUCUUGUCCUGACCUGCUUAGAGUCUUCAACUAUAUAGUUAGGGUCAGUGAAAUAGCGGCGUACCUUCUAUGAGGGGAAGUGCAUAUGGACUUCUCCGGUUCCAAUAUAGAUGAUUGCUUUAAUAGUGCUGAGGAACGGUCUCCCAAGGAUGAUGGGUGGAUCGUACCCGUCUUCUCCCAUGUCAAUAACCUGAAAGUCUGUAUGGACAAAAUGAUCGUCUAUUUUGACAGGGACAUCGGUUACUAUACCUUCAACCUUUUGGAAUGUCUGAUCUACCAUCUGGAGCUGAAUGUAUGUUGGUUUUAAGAGCAUGGUUCCGAACAGAAGCUGAUAGGUGACUGCGGCCAUUAUGUUGACGCCCGAUCCGGUGUCGCAAAGUGUCUUGUAUAAGUUGUAUCCAUUGAUGGAGCAGUGGAUGCUUGGCAUACCUGGGUCGUCCUUCUUGGUCAGAAACGGUGACUUGAGUCGAUUAUGUUGACCUUCCUGAACUGCAGUGACCAUCUUAACUGACUCGGUUCACACUUGCUUGUUCCUGUUCCUCCUAUUGGUCCUCUUCCAUGGUUCAUGUCGAGAUUGCUCUGGGAUUUGUGUAGUCUUGUUCUUGAAGGAAAACGUCUCCUUCCUCCCUUUGAUGUAGAAACUAAUCUUGGUAGCACUAGCGUAGAUGACAGCUCCCGAGGUGUUCAGGAAUGGCCUCCCUAAGAUGACGGGUGCCCUCCCAUCAUUACCGGUCUCUAUCACCACGAAGUCUGCUGGGGCGUACAACGUACCAACUCGGACACAGAGGUUCUUCAAUAUUCCCUUUGGGAAACUUAACGUCUGAUCUGAAAACUGCAAACACAUGGUUGUUUCUAAUAAAGGAUAUGUAAAGAAUUUUUCAUAGAGUACCCUGGGCAUAAUGUUGACACUAGAGCCAAAGUCGCAAAGCGCUUUUAGGAAGUCCACCAUACCGAUGGAGAUCGGGAUGAGGGGGCGUCCUGGAUCGCCUCUCUUGACCUGCAGAAGGUCAGUAGUAACUUCCGUAAUGGGGUUACUCUAGUGGUUACCUGCAUCAAACUUGUCUACAAGAUUUGCAGAUUCUAAUCCUUCCGGUUGUGAUGGUAUACCGGGGUUAGUAAUAGGAACAGCAUCAGCUAUUUGAUUUAACUGAGAUUCAAUCAUUUUAUUAAAGCUAAUUUGAUUCUUGAUGGCAGUAGAGAAAUUAUCCAUUCUAUUAUUUAUAUUUUCUAGCAUUUUAUCAUUAGAUGCCAAUUUCUUAGAUAGGUUAUCCAUUAGCUUCCCUUGAUUAGACACUAACUCUCUCAGAGGUGGAAAAUUAUUAUUGUUGUAAGAAUUGUUACCUUGAUAAUUACUUGAGUAGUUAGGCCUCUGUUGAUUCCAACCUUGAUUUUGUUGAGGACGGUUGUAGUAGUUGUUGUUGUUGCUAUUGUUGAUGUAGUUCACAUCCUCAAGCAUCUCAGGGCAGUGAUUGCCUGAGUGUCCAAUAUCUCCACACUCCUCACAAGUCAUGUGAGAGUCGUAGAUGUUCAUGACUUCUUUCUUAUCUCCAGCUCUAUCAUCGAGCUUCUUCAUGAGCAGGUCUACCUUAGCAGACAGCAUGUCUACCUCCUUGAGCUGGUGCAUACCUCCACCUCUCUUGCGUGUCUGGGUCAUUUCUUCAUUCCAGCCUUGGUUGGACGCCAUCUUGUCCACAAGAGGUGUGGCUUGUGGUAUGGUGAGUGAUAGGAAUGCUCCUCCAGUUGCAGCAUCCAUGGUCUCUCGGGCACUAUUGCCGAGCCCAUAAUAAAACGUCUGCAUCAGUAGUCAACUCUCCAUUCCAUGAUGGGGACAUUCUAGGAUGUAGUCUUGGAAGCGCUCCCAUGCUUCUGGAACAGAUUCAUCAUAUUGUUCCUGUAAACUUGUAAUUUUCCCACGGAGAGCAUUGGUCUUGCCCAUGGGAAAGAACUUAGCCAGAAAGUUCAUGGAGCAGAGUGCCCACAUAGUAUUCUUCUUCUUUGUAGCGUAGAACCACUGCUUUGCUCUCCCUAACAGUGAGAAUGGGAAGAGGCAAAGUAGUAUAGCAUCUCUGGGGAUUCCUGAUAUGGUGAAUGUGCUGCAAAUCUACAGGAAGUGUUGGAGAUGAGCACUAGCAUCUUCGUGUGCCUUCCCACAGAACUGGUUGGAUUGCACCAUGUUGAUAAUUCCAGGCUUGAGCUCAAAGUUGCCGUCGAUCUCUGUAGCAGGUCCAGUACGGAUGUUGUCCGUAGUGGGAGCUGAGAACUCACGGAUCGAUUUGUUCGCCAUGGCUUCGAACUCUGAAGACAAGUUCCGGGUGAAACUUCGGUGAUCUUCUUGAUUGGAUGAAGCUUCGUGCUGAAGUGUUGAUGAUCUCUUCUUGAGCUUGGCUCUUGUUUUUCUAAAUAAUGCGUCGGGAUUGUCAAUAAAAUUUCCUGGAAGAUGUCUUCUAUUCAUACAUUACCCUACAUAAGAUAAAAAUAGAAAAAUAACGGGGUAAAACUGUAUGAGAGAAUUAAUAAUCUCAAUCAUAUUAGUGAUGCGAAUGAUGACUUGAAAUUCCAUAUUCAUUCCUGAUUAGUAAUCAAUCUUCCCCAGCAACAGCGCCAAAAAUGCUUGUUGGGCAUUCUUACCAUCACUACCAAAAGUAGACUUAGUUUUCUAAUUCUGAUAACGACGCAAAAAAUGCCAAACCUAUCCCUCAUGCCACUUAAGCCAAGUUGUCAUCCCCAGCAUGACAUGAGAGACGCGGUAUUGAAAUAUGCAAUUGCUCUUUAGAAUAAAUAAUAAAUAAGAUCUGCAAGCGCAA